GACGAACGCUGGCGGCGUGCUUAACACAUGCAAGUCGAACGGAAAGGCCCUGCUUUUGUGGGGUGCUCGAGUGGCGAACGGGUGAGUAACACGUGAGUAACCUGCCCUUGACUUUGGGAUAACUUCAGGAAACUGGGGCUAAUACCGGAUAGGAGCUCCUGCUGCAUGGUGGGGGUUGGAAAGUUUCGGCGGUUGGGGAUGGACUCGCGGCUUAUCAGCUUGUUGGUGGGGUAGUGGCUUACCAAGGCUUUGACGGGUAGCCGGCCUGAGAGGGUGACCGGCUACAUUGGGACUGAGAUACGGCCCAGACUCCUACGGGAGGCAGCAGUGGGGAAUAUUGCACAAUGGGCGGAAGCCUGAUGCAGCAACGCCGCGUGCGGGAUGACGGCCUUCGGGUUGUAAACCGCUUUCGCCUGUGACGAAGCGUGAGUGACGGUAAUGGGUAAAGAAGCACCGGCUAACUACGUG
Molecule: ribosomal RNA, 468 nt
Filed under: uncultured bacterium
Lineage: Bacteria
Description: partial 16S ribosomal RNA
Rfam family: Bacterial small subunit ribosomal RNA
Source: RNAcentral